GGACGGGUGAGUAACGCGUGAGAAUCUAGCUCUAGGUCGGGGACAACCACUGGAAACGGUGGCUAAUACCGGAUGUGCCGGAAGGUAAAAGGCUUGCUGCCUAGAGAUGAGCUCGCGUCUGAUUAGCUAGUUGGUGUGGUAAGAGCGCACCAAGGCGACGAUCAGUAGCUGGUCUGAGAGGAUGAUCAGCCACACUGGGACUGAGACACGGCCCAGACUCCUACGGGAGGCAGCAGUGGGGAAUUUUCCGCAAUGGGCGAAAGCCUGACGGAGCAAUACCGCGUGAGGGAGGAAGGCUCUUGGGUUGUAAACCUCUUUUCUCAAGGAAUAAGAUCUGAAGGUACUUGAGGAAUAAGCAUCGGCUAACUCCGUGCCAGCAGCCGCGGUAAUACGGAGGAUGCAAGCGUUAUCCGGAAUGAUUGGGCGUAAAGGGUCCGCAGGUGGCAUUGAAAGUCUGCUGUUAAAGAGUGAGGCUUAACCUCAUAAAAGCAGUGGAAACUACAAAGCUAGAGUGCGUUCGGGGUAGCAGGAAUUCCUGGUGUAGCGGUGAAAUGCGUAGAGAUCAGGAAGAACACCGGUGGCGAAAGCGUGCUACUAGGCCGUAACUGACACUGAGGGACGAAAGCUACGGGAGCGAWUGGGAUUAGAUACCCCAGUAGUCCUAGC
RNAcentral lists this ribosomal RNA (666 nucleotides) under Nostoc sp. DS3_A28. RNAcentral's name for it is "bacterial SSU rRNA". The record is from RNAcentral. Lineage: Bacteria; Bacillati; Cyanobacteriota; Cyanophyceae; Nostocales; Nostocaceae.